RNAcentral lists this ribosomal RNA (1439 nucleotides) under uncultured organism. Its description in RNAcentral is "16S ribosomal RNA". It matches the Rfam family "Bacterial small subunit ribosomal RNA". The record is from RNAcentral.
AUGAACGCUAGCUACAGGCUUAACACAUGCAAGUCGAGGGGCAGCAUGGUCUUAGCUUGCUAAGGCCGAUGGCGACCGGCGCACGGGUGAGUAACACGUAUCCAACCUGCCGUCUACUCUUGGACAGCCUUCUGAAAGGAAGAUUAAUACAAGAUGGCAUCAUGAGUCCGCAUGUUCACAUGAUUAAAGGUAUUCCGGUAGACGAUGGGGAUGCGUUCCAUUAGAUAGUAGGCGGGGUAACGGCCCACCUAGUCUUCGAUGGAUAGGGGUUCUGAGAGGAAGGUCCCCCACAUUGGAACUGAGACACGGUCCAAACUCCUACGGGAGGCAGCAGUGAGGAAUAUUGGUCAAUGGGCGAGAGCCUGAACCAGCCAAGUAGCGUGAAGGAUGACUGCCCUAUGGGUUGUAAACUUCUUUUAUAAAGGAAUAAAGUCGGGUAUGGAUACCCGUUUGCAUGUACUUUAUGAAUAAGGAUCGGCUAACUCCGUGCCAGCAGCCGCGGUAAUACGGAGGAUCCGAGCGUUAUCCGGAUUUAUUGGGUUUAAAGGGAGCGUAGAUGGAUGUUUAAGUCAGUUGUGAAAGUUUGCGGCUCAACCGUAAAAUUGCAGUUGAUACUGGAUAUCUUGAGUGCAGUUGAGGCAGGCGGAAUUCGUGGUGUAGCGGUGAAAUGCUUAGAUAUCACGAAGAACUCCGAUUGCGAAGGCAGCCUGCUAAGCUGCAACUGACAUUGAGGCUCGAAAGUGUGGGUAUCAAACAGGAUUAGAUACCCUGGUAGUCCACACGGUAAACGAUGAAUACUCGCUGUUUGCGAUAUACUGCAAGCGGCCAAGCGAAAGCGUUAAGUAUUCCACCUGGGGAGUACGCCGGCAACGGUGAAACUCAAAGGAAUUGACGGGGGCCCGCACAAGCGGAGGAACAUGUGGUUUAAUUCGAUGAUACGCGAGGAACCUUACCCGGGCUUAAAUUGCAGAUGAAUUACGGUGAAAGCCGUAAGCCGCAAGGCAUCUGUGAAGGUGCUGCAUGGUUGUCGUCAGCUCGUGCCGUGAGGUGUCGGCUUAAGUGCCAUAACGAGCGCAACCCUUGUUGUCAGUUACUAACAGGUUCCGCUGAGGACUCUGACAAGACUGCCAUCGUAAGAUGUGAGGAAGGUGGGGAUGACGUCAAAUCAGCACGGCCCUUACGUCCGGGGCUACACACGUGUUACAAUGGGGGGUACAGAGGGCCGCUACCACGCGAGUGGAUGCCAAUCCCCAAAACCUCUCUCAGUUCGGACUGGAGUCUGCAACCCGACUCCACGAAGCUGGAUUCGCUAGUAAUCGCGCAUCAGCCACGGCGCGGUGAAUACGUUCCCGGGCCUUGUACACACCGCCCGUCAAGCCAUGGGAGCCGGGGGUACCUGAAGUGCGUAACCGCGAGGAGCGCCCUAGGGUAAAACUGGU